UACGAAGGGGGCUAGCGUUGUUCGGAAUCACUGGGCGUAAAGGGCGCGUAGGCGGCCGAUUAAGUCGGGGGUGAAAGCCUGUGGCUCAACCACAGAAUUGCCUUCGAUACUGAUUGGCUUGAGACCGGAAGAGGUAAGUGGAACUGCGAGUGUAGAGGUGAAAUUCGUAGAUAUUCGCAAGAACACCAGUGGCGAAGGCGGCUUACUGGUCCGGUUCUGACGCUGAGGCGCGAAAGCUAGGGGAGCAAACAGG
RNAcentral lists this ribosomal RNA (253 nucleotides) under uncultured bacterium. RNAcentral's name for it is "partial 16S ribosomal RNA". It matches the Rfam family "Bacterial small subunit ribosomal RNA", at positions 524 to 776 of the family's 1533-position model. The record is from RNAcentral.